Molecule: unclassified non-coding RNA, 1686 nt
Filed under: Athalia rosae (coleseed sawfly)
Lineage: Eukaryota; Metazoa; Arthropoda; Insecta; Hymenoptera; Athaliidae
Description: misc RNA ENSAEAG00005001878.1
Source: RNAcentral
GUGCAAAGAUCACCCUUUGAUCUCUCUAGGGAUUCUUUUCUUCUCCAGUCGGUAUUGCCAUCUCGCAGAUUGUUGAGGAAACAUCUCAUGUACUGUGCAGCAGAAGUUGCGCACAGCUAAUAGAUAAAUUUGUCACGAAAUAUGGCGGUUGCAGGUAGUAGUAAAAAAGCUAUUGCACUGUUGCUCGGACAGUGUGUUCCAAGCUUGAAGAAGGGCGUACCAAAAAUUCGGAUACGUCAUCUGGAACUUGACGAAAAUCUGCUGAUGGUUAAGUUUUAGGAAAGCUGAGUUACAUACAUAUCACGCGUGUUCUACCGGUUUCAGUACUUCGGAAAAGACACAUAUGUAUAUGCUAAUGAUCCGAAAAAUAUCUGUCAGCCUGGAGACCACGUACUCCUAAAGCAACUACCCAAAAAAUUGACUCGCCUGAUUGCGCACGAGAUCCUGGAGGUCGUCUAUCCAUACGGCGAUGUUACAGAUCCUGUAACUGGCAAGAAAGUAGUCGUAGGACAAUAUAGGGAUGCUAUCAAGGCACAGAACAAGCUAUAUGGGGAAGUAAAUUCGGCGUUUGAUUACGAUAAAGCUCCCCCCAGGGGUAGUCAAAAAGAGAAACGUGAUUUCAGUUUUCAUGAAACAUACGUCAAGUACCACGAAGAUCCCGAUGACCCACAACCAUAUGCGGUAUAAACCUAGAUUGUAUAAAUUUUCGCCUGUUAGCAUUCAAUAAACGAGUAACCUUAAUUUGUAUUUUAUUAAUAAUUCUCAAACGUUUCAACAUUCAUAUCACAAAUGUUCAUAAUUUAAAGCUUCUAAACAGAAUAGCUGGUGCCUAUCGGAAGGAUUCUACCCACUCGACCUUUGCACCUGAGGUAAGAGAUAGAAGCAAUUUCUGUAUUUACGAAAUGCUCCAGGUAAAAAUUUAUUUCAUUGAUUUAGAUUAUGUAGAAAAUAGAAUUGAACAACGCUCGUUGCUUGAUUGAAGAGAAAACUAACUCAAUGUCAUGGAUCAAUCGGAUAAAAAUUCUCUCUCUAAAGCAGCACCCAUCUCGUUCCAUUCGCAAUCAUCCUCCACAGAAUCCUGAGAAUCGUCUCCAAGGUCCAAAUCGUCUGGCAGCGAUUCGCCUCGACGGAACCUUGUUAUAAGGUCAUCAUCAUUGUCCCUGUCAUCAUCUUCAUCGUCGUCAGAGGACUUCCGAUCUUCCGCAGACGAAUCGUCAUUAUUUUCCGCAGUAUCUCUCUUUUUUCUUUUGCUGCCGAAAACAGUUCCUGCACGUUCUUCUGUUUGGGAAUUUAAGAAUUCAUAUUCAACAAGGAUUAGUCUGAGAUUUAAUUUAUUUUACCGUUAAGUGAGUCAGGCGUUCGUGAUCGACGUCGGCGACGUGAAGAGGUGGUUUCGUUUUCAGCUGCAAUUGGCGUUGCAUCCAGUUCUUGAUCACUCAUGUCUUCUUCGACCUCUUUAUCCAUGUUCGCUAUUUCCUCAAGCGUGAAAGACAUAAGGGGAUUUAUACUGUCUGCAAAUCUGUUGGCCUCUCCGGUUUCCAGAUCCUCAGCCCUCUCAGGGCUGCUGCAGUGUGGCGGCGGUACCCUGGAUCCACGAGCCUGCAUUGGUUCAUUUUAAUCCCGGACGAAUAGUUUGGUUCAAAAGUUCACGAAGACAACAACUUUCAGGCAGCAUCUGACCCGCAG